Molecule: ribosomal RNA, 497 nt
Filed under: uncultured bacterium
Lineage: Bacteria
Description: partial 16S ribosomal RNA
Rfam family: Bacterial small subunit ribosomal RNA
Source: RNAcentral
GAUGAACGCUGGCGGCGUGCCUAAUACAUGCAAGUCGAGCGAACAGACGAGGAGCUUGCUCCUCUGACGUUAGCGGCGGACGGGUGAGUAACACGUGGAUAACCUACCUAUAAGACUGGGAUAACUUCGGGAAACCGGAGCUAAUACCGGAUAAUAUAUUGAACCGCAUGGUUCAAUAGUGAAAGACGGUUUUGCUGUCACUUAUAGAUGGAUCCGCGCCGCAUUAGCUAGUUGUUAAGGUAACGGCUUACCAAGGCAACGAUGCGUAGCCGACCUGAGAGGGUGGUCGGCCACACUGGAACUGAGACACGGUCCAGGCUCCUACGGGAGGCAGCAGUAGGGAAUCUUCCGCAAUGGGCGAAAGCUUGACGGAGCAACGCCGCGUGAGUGAUGAAGGUCUUCGGAUCGUAAAACUCUGUUAUUAGGGAAGAACAAAUGUGUAAGUAACUAUGCACGUCUUGACGGUACCUAAUCAGAAAGCCACGGCUAACUACGUG